GAUGAACGCUGGCGGCGUGCCUAAUACAUGCAAGUCGAGCGAACGGACGAGAAGCUUGCUUCUCUGAUGUUAGCGGCGGACGGGUGAGUAACACGUGGAUAACCUACCUAUAAGACUGGGAUAACUUCGGGAAACCGGAGCUAAUACCGGAUAAUAUUUUGAACCGCAUGGUUCAAAAGUGAAAGACGGCCUUGCUGUCACUUAUAGAUGGAUCCGCGCUGCAUUAGCUAGUUGGUAAGGUAACGGCUUACCAAGGCAACGAUGCAUAGCCGACCUGAGAGGGGGAUCGGCCACACUGGAACUGGGACACGGUCCAGACUCCUACGGGAGGCAGCAGUAGGGAAUCUUCCGCAAUGGGCGAAAGCCUGACGGAGCAACGCCGCGUGAGUGAUGAAGGUCUUCGGAUCGUAAAACUCUGUUAUUAGGGAAGAACAUAUGUGUAAGUAACUGUGCACAUCUUGACGGUACCUAAUCAGAAAGCCACGGCUAACUACGUG
This 497-nucleotide ribosomal RNA is filed under the name uncultured bacterium. Its description in RNAcentral is "partial 16S ribosomal RNA". It matches the Rfam family "Bacterial small subunit ribosomal RNA", at positions 28 to 507 of the family's 1533-position model. The record is from RNAcentral.